This 480-nucleotide ribosomal RNA is filed under the name uncultured bacterium. Its description in RNAcentral is "bacterial SSU rRNA". It matches the Rfam family "Bacterial small subunit ribosomal RNA", at positions 903 to 1397 of the family's 1533-position model. The record is from RNAcentral.
AAAUGAAUAGACGGGGACCCGCACAAGUGGUGGAGCGUGUUCUUUAAUUCGAUGAUAAGCGAAGAACCUUACCAGGGCUUGACAUCCUUGGAAUCUCUGCGAAAGCAGAGAGUGCCUUUUGGAACCAAGUGACAGGUGUUGCAUGGCCGUCGUCAGCUCGUGUCGUGAGAUGUUUGGUUAAGUCCAUUAACGAGCGCAACCCUUAUGAUUAGUUGGAUUUUUCUAAUCAGACUGCCUCGGUAACGGGGAGGAAGGAGGGGAUGAUGUCAGGUCAUUAUUACCCUUACGUCCUGGGCUAGAAACGCGCUACAAUGGCCGGUACAGAGGGCUGCCAACCCGCGAGGGGGAGCAAAUCCCAUCAAAACCGGUCCCAGUUCGGAUUGCAGGCUGAAACUCGCCUGCAUGAAGCCGGAAUCACUAGUAAUCGUGGGUCAGCACACCACGGUGAAUACGUUCCCGGGUCUUGUACACACCGCCCGU